GCAGCCCCGGCGCUCCAGCCCUGUGCGGGCAGAGAGGGCUGCAAGGGGAUAACAUGAACCAUCCGCCGCCCCGCUGCUGCUGCCAGGACAGCCUCGUCCCCACCUGAAGGGCCGAUAUCGGAGGAUGAAAGGAUCCACGAGGGAGAUGCGGUAGGAAGGAGUCCAGCCACCUCCCUGGAAUGCAUUCCUUCRGGAAGGGACGAGCUCCCUGCCUUAUUUUAUGGAUGUCCCUGAAGUAGACUUUGAAGGCCUUUGG
Molecule: long non-coding RNA, 256 nt
Filed under: Zosterops lateralis melanops
Lineage: Eukaryota; Metazoa; Chordata; Aves; Passeriformes; Zosteropidae
Description: lncRNA (ENSZLMG00000010383.1)
Source: RNAcentral